AUUGAACGCUGGCGGCAGGCUUAACACAUGCAAGUCGAACGGUAACAUAAAGAAGCUUGCUUCUUUGAUGACGAGUGGCGGACGGGUGAGUAAUGCUUGGGAAUCUAGCUUAUGGAGGGGGAUAACUACGGGAAACUGUAGCUAAUACCGCGUAAUAUCGAAAGAUUAAAGUGUGGGACCUUCGGGCCACAUGCCAUAGGAUGAGCCCAAGUGGGAUUAGGUAGUUGGUGAGGUAAAGGCUCACCAAGCCGACGAUCUCUAGCUGGUCUGAGAGGAUGACCAGCCACACUGGGACUGAGACACGGCCCAGACUCCUACGGGAGGCAGCAGUGGGGAAUAUUGCGCAAUGGGGGCAACCCUGACGCAGCCAUGCCGCGUGAAUGAAGAAGGCCUUCGGGUUGUAAAGUUCUUUCGGUAGCGAGGAAGGCAUUUAGUUUAAUAGACUAGGUGAUUGACGUUAACUACAGAAGAAGCACCGGCUAACUCCGUGCCAGCAGCCGCGGUAAUACGGAGGGUGCGAGCGUUAAUCGGAAUAACUGGGCGUAAAGGGCACGCAGGCGGUGACUUAAGUGAGGUGUGAAAGCCCCGGGCUUAACCUGGGAAUUGCAUUUCAUACUGGGUCGCUAGAGUACUUUAGGGAGGGGUAGAAUUCCACGUGUAGCGGUGAAAUGCGUAGAGAUGUGGAGGAAUACCGAAGGCGAAGGCAGCCCCUUGGGAAUGUACUGACGCUCAUGUGCGAAAGCGUGGGGAGCAAACAGG
This 759-nucleotide ribosomal RNA is filed under the name Parahaemophilus parainfluenzae. Its description in RNAcentral is "Haemophilus parainfluenzae bacterial SSU rRNA". It matches the Rfam family "Bacterial small subunit ribosomal RNA", at positions 28 to 776 of the family's 1533-position model. Lineage: Bacteria; Pseudomonadati; Pseudomonadota; Gammaproteobacteria; Pasteurellales; Pasteurellaceae. The record is from RNAcentral.